Molecule: ribosomal RNA, 253 nt
Filed under: uncultured bacterium
Lineage: Bacteria
Description: partial 16S ribosomal RNA
Rfam family: Bacterial small subunit ribosomal RNA
Source: RNAcentral
UACAGAGGUCUCAACCGUUGUUCGGAUUCAUUGGGCGUAAAGGGUGCGUAGGCGGUCGCGUAAGUCAGGUGUGAAAUCUCAGGGCUCAACCCUGAAACUGCACUUGAUACUGCGUGGCUCGGGUACUGGAGAGGAGACUGGAAUUUACGGUGUAGCAGUGAAAUGCGUAGAUAUCGUAAGGAAGACCAGUGGCGAAGGCGAGUCUCUGGACAGCAACUGACGCUGCGGCACGAAGGCCAGGGGAGCAAACGGG